AGGGACGGAAGGAGAGAAGGUGUCUGGAAUUAAUGUUUUUUUUAAUAUUAGUUCAAUUAAAAAAAACCUGUAGAUCUCUGAGACUAUCCUGAUCUCACAAGUUCAAGUUCUGUUUUUAUGGAAUUCAUUGCGAAACGCAAACGUGAAAAUCUGGAUGCAACAUUACGUUGUGUAGAACGACGUAACGUUGUGUACAUUACGUUGUGUACGUUACGUUGGGAAUGUUACGUUGUGUACGUUAUUUGUUGUUCGUUACGUUGUCUACGUUAUUUAAUGCUCGUUACAUCGUGUACAUUAUUUAAUGUUUGUUACAUUAUGUAGCCUACGUUACGUUGUGUACGUUAUUUAAUGUAUGUUCUGUUGUGCACUUAAAGUAAUGGUGUUGUUUUGUUUCAAUUAAACUUGUUUAGAUUGUGUCUGAAAAAUGUA
Long non-coding RNA from Gadus macrocephalus (Pacific cod), 429 nucleotides. RefSeq lists it as uncharacterized. NCBI's taxonomy places the organism in Eukaryota, Metazoa, Chordata, Actinopteri, Gadiformes, Gadidae. The record is from RefSeq and is a predicted model, not a curated record. The transcript has 2 exons.